Molecule: long non-coding RNA, 450 nt
Filed under: Takifugu rubripes (torafugu)
Lineage: Eukaryota; Metazoa; Chordata; Actinopteri; Tetraodontiformes; Tetraodontidae
Description: lncRNA (ENSTRUG00000031499.1)
Source: RNAcentral
AUGGGGGGUGAAAGAGACUGCACAGACUACAAUACCCAGAAAGCCCUGGGGUCCCAUCAAAGUAUCAGAUUACGCCCCAUUAGAGGGGGAGGGGAGAGAGGAGGGACUCCCAGCUGCUACUGCUGGUUGUUAGUGGUUCUGAUUCUGACUGAUCACGUCUGUGUCCUCCAGGACCUGAAGGAGAAGAAGCUCCUGGAGGAGAAAGAAAAUGGAAAAGACGCCGCCACCAACGGAAAGGAUAAUGAUGAGAACGGUGAACCAGAAAUUGGUGAUGAAGAAGAGGAGGAUGUCGAUGAAGAGGAGGAGGAUGAUGAUGAAGACGAUGGGGACGGUGAGGAGGAAGACGAAGAUGAUGAUGACGACGUUGAAGGUGGAACAAAGCGAGCUGCAGAGGACGAGGAUGAUGAUGAUGAUGAGGAUGUGGAGACCAAGAAGCAGAAAACAUUUUAA